AACUGACGCUGAGGAGCGAAAGCAUGGGGAGCGAACAGGAUUAGAUACCCUGGUAGUCCAUGCCGUAAACGUUGGGCGCUAGAUGUAGGGACCUUUCCACGGUUUCUGUGUCGUAGCUAACGCAUUAAGCGCCCCGCCUGGGGAGUACGGCCGCAAGGCUAAAACUCAAAGGAAUUGACGGGGGCCCGCACAAGCGGCGGAGCAUGCGGAUUAAUUCGAUGCAACGCGAAGAACCUUACCAAGGCUUGACAUACACCGGAAACGGCCAGAGAUGGUCGCCCCCUUGUGGUCGGUGUACAGGUGGUGCAUGGUUGUCGUCAGCUCGUGUCGUGAGAUGUUGGGUUAAGUCCCGCAACGAGCGCAACCCUCGUUCUAUGUUGCCAGCGCGUUAUGGCGGGGACUCAUAGGAGACUGCCGGGGUCAACUCGGAGGAAGGUGGGGAUGACGUCAAAUCAUCAUGCCCCUUAUGUCUUGGGCUUCACGCAUGCUACAAUGGCCGGUACAAAGGGCUGCGAUACCGUAAGGUGGAGCGAAUCCCAAAAAGCCGGUCUCAGUUCGGAUUGAGGUCUGC
Molecule: ribosomal RNA, 571 nt
Filed under: Curtobacterium sp.
Lineage: Bacteria; Bacillati; Actinomycetota; Actinomycetes; Micrococcales; Microbacteriaceae
Description: bacterial SSU rRNA
Rfam family: Bacterial small subunit ribosomal RNA
Source: RNAcentral